AAACGGUCCCGCAUGCGCAAUACAGUUGUGACAGCAGCAGAAUGCUGUCGGGGCCUGGCUGCGGACGACGUGGCUGCAAGCGCGACUAGUCACCCUCAUCGCUUUCUCCACAUUAGUUCCAUCUUCCGUACACGUACCUUGAAGUUGUCACGCCAGUUUGGAGAGGGGAGUUCGCAAGAAGCGAGAUAAGUGGAGCAUACAGGGUGUGCGUGGAGUGGGGUCCUCGAGCCGCCUGCGGUGUCAGUUCCAGCGCCACCAUAUGUGCUCCUAGCCAGGCCAUUCGGGUGUUAACUCUGCUCGGUUGCCUAGGAAACGGCUCCGCAUGCGCUGUGCCGAGUGAGAGUGGCAGAACGCGAUCGGCGGCUGGCUGCGCGCGACGUAGCUGCAGGUGCGGUACCUUUCUACUUGUGGAGAAUCAAGGUAGGAUCCGGUAGGAAUCAAGAUAGGAAGCCGUGACGCGUUCUUCGAGCGUUGAGAGGACAAACACAACUUGGUCGAACUCGUAAUCCUCAUCGCUUCCUCCACAUCAUCUCCAUCUUCCAUAUCCUGACCGUGAAGUUAUCGCGCCAGUUUGGAGAUGAGAAUUUGCAAGAAGCGAGAUAAGUGUGGCAGACAGGGGUGAGCGUACUGCAAACGAGGAUACCAGAGUGCAAGAACCAGCCCACAUACAGUGAUCGACAACGAUACGGCGAAAACACGCAGUUCAUCGCAGCCGUGACAGAUGGUGCCAUCCGUUCCAUAGGAGUCGAAUAGACAUGUUUUGGGUGACGUCACCGCAGACGACACCGACUUCAGAUUUAUUGUGGACGAAACCGGAUGACAACAGGUCAGCAAAUAGGCGGCUGCCACUGUGUGUAGUGCGGGACACCAAAACGAAAAUGGCAGCGGGUGGAGCAAGCCGGACGUGAUUUUUUUUUCUCGUCCAAGAAGGCCCAGCCUUUCCACCAGUCGAGCUCAAUCACGCCUCCUUCAAGCAACACAAUAAAGGGUGAUGUCAACAUGUUCGUGGCUUCAGUGUUUCACCAGUCACAUAACUCAUCUAGGCACUGGUCGGGGACCACUUCCCGAGCACCACGAAGCAGCAGUGCCCACUGAGGCCCAGAUCCACGCCGAAGGCUACAGCCGAGGUCCCAUUCCAAUUCACCACGGCCGAGGAGCGUCGGGAAAUCUGUGGACAGCGCUCGGGGAGGAGACAAAAGGCACUCACACGUAGUGACACAAUCUUGAUUUUAAAGAAACAAAUAAAAAUAAAUCACCCACACAAAUUGUACUGGUAUAGAGGGUCCUUCAAUCACUGUGAUUUCAUUUAAAAGUACAAAUAAAGAGAAACACAGAGUGAAAUUGUA
This is an RNA transcript of Dermacentor andersoni, 1346 nucleotides long. RefSeq lists it as uncharacterized. NCBI's taxonomy places the organism in Eukaryota, Metazoa, Arthropoda, Arachnida, Ixodida, Ixodidae. The record is from RefSeq and is a predicted model, not a curated record.